UCAGCGCAAGUGCGGGACACUUGAGUUCAACAGACGCUCCGAAGCACUCUUGGGGCCAGCAAGACAGGGAGGUAGAUGCCCAGGCUGGCUUGUUUGGCCUACCUCUCUCGGAUACAUUCUAACAGGGACCUAGGAUCCCCAGAAACCCUCCUUCCAUUUUCCUGAUCCAGGAAAAAUGAAGAUAAAAAUGCUCCCUGCUCUGGCCAUUGUUUACUCUUCAACUAAAAGGCUGCCUCUUGAUUCUGCCUGACAAGAGGUUCUCACAUAUUGAGAAUGGUCAUUGGUUAUUUUGCAUCGACAUUUGGUGUAGUCAGCAGGAUUUCAGAGAAAGCCACCAGAGACCACCUGGAAUCUACACUGAACCAGCAUCUGGGCCCGUUGAGACACCCCAGAUCACUGCAUUCUUCAGGUGACCCUGUGCAUGUGACUGUAUUUCGGGGAAAUCCUUGUUUUUAAAAGCAAUGCCGUGAGAAUCCAGAACAUGGGUCCUCCUUGCUCAAGAGCCUGACGUCAGUCCUCAGAGUUGCAACCCAAGGUGUCUCAGACCACCGAGCUGGUUACUCCAGGAGGAGGGUACCCAUAGACCAGCGUGGAAUACGGCUCCCCUGCUCCAUCCCCUCAUCCUCAGGACUGACGCUAAACUGCCUCUUUUCCUGGGGGAGCCAGCGAACCCUAACUCCAGAAUCUUCCCCUCCUGGCUGAAGAGCAGCAGUACUAAGUGUGAAAUUUCAAGGAUUUUAGGAGCUCUGUGCCAGCAAUGGGGAUGAAGACCAAAUAUAUCUUACAAAUCACAAUAUUAAGCUUCUAUAAGUGUAGAAGUCCAAGAGGUGACCUAAUUUCAGGCACAGCUGGAUCCAGGAGUUCAAAUUACAACCCAAGGACUAUGUUUUUCACCACUUCUUAGUUCUACAGGCAACUAGUUCUGUUGGCUCCAGGAAGAUUUUUUUCUCCAUGUGACAGUGAAGAUGAUCACCAGUUGUCCCUGGUUUAUAUAAUCCUUAAAGGUAAGGAGAAAAGAGAGAACCUUCUCACUCUAGCAUAUCAUUCAGUCUAGAUCAGUUUCUAAAGAGGAACCUGGUGAGUUCACUUGCUCGUCUUUCUAUGUCUAGGAGGAUGGGGUAUUCUGAUUGUUUAGCUGGAGACAUGUGCCCACAAUAAUCACAUGGUGUGAGGAAAGGGCACUUCCCAGAAGGAAGGCUCAGAGAACAGCUAUCCCCUGUAGCCCUUACCUUCAUUUGGCUUGAACAUUUUUCUAAACUCUCCAAUUGAAAGCAGUUUUAACACCCAUGGAGUUUGGUGUAUAUUCAGUUUGGGAAAAGAAGCACUGCAUGGUUUGAUGGCAUUGAGGGUGGGUCAGAGGUCAUCUCUGCCCAGUGACUCUCAGAACUUGUUGUACUUCGUGAAGGAUCACUGGCUGAUGAUGAUAAUCUACCUAGCAGUUACAAUCUAGAUUUUAAAAAAUGGAAGGGUCACUCUGCACCGCCUCCCCAACUUACUCUCCGACCUCCCCAGAUAGCGGCUAGAGACACACCUGUGAGACAGAAAAAGAAAGUGUCUUGGCACAGAUUGCUCAUGACCAACAGCCGCAUUUAUUCUUUCAUACUCUCAGUUCCCCAAUCUGCUUUUUCUUUCCAUUGAGGUGAAGCCAAAAAGACAGACUGAAAAGAGACCAUGACCAUAUUAUUCAUAAUUCCUCUGUGAUAACUCCAUGAUGCCCCCUCAUUUUUCAGUGAGAGGGUUUUCUGACAGCUGGCUUUUAUAAUUCAUUUACUAGGUAGUUUCAAUUUAAUGACCAAUUUUAAAAAAUAAUUUUUGCAGACCCCCUGGAGUUUCAGCCAUUUAAACAGAACAUAAUAGAAUUUCCCAAAGAAAUAAGUCUUCCUUGAUUAAUCACUUCCAGAUAUAAUUACAUAUGUUUUCGUCAUAUAAACAAUCAUUGUGGUUACAGUUCCAAUUAGGUUAACCUUCUCUUGUCCAUAGACGGAUUUCAAGUUUCGUGAGUCUUGGGAUGUGAGUAUACCUCCUGCUUUCCCAUGUAGGUGACAACACUUGGGCAGGGAUCUUCUCUUCUAUGUCUGUAGAACCACCUUUUCCCUCUCUCCUCAUCCCCAGGACAGCUUUAAGCAAGGACAAAGGAGGAACGUAUUUAUUUCUCUAGUGAAAGAUCCUGGGCUCUGCAAAUUGCCAGAGCUCAGGUGAAAUUCCAGGUCUGCUAUUUACUAGCUGUGCGGGCAAAAUGGUCCAUUUUAAAAAACUUAAUUUUCUUACAAGAAAAAGUGACAAUAAAUUCUUGAGGGUUUUUGUGACAAUUAAGUAAGCUAUGCAUUCAAAAGCACUUAAAGAUGCUUGUAGAUCCUUUAAAAAGUAUUUGUUUCCUUAGAGAUAUGGAUGUAGAAGCUACUGAGUCUAUGAAAUGUCUUUCUCGUAUGUUGCUGACAUUUGAAAUUCUUUUCCAGAAGACAAAACCUUUAUGCCAAAAUAGAAAUGAGAUUGAAAUGGUAAAUAAUCUCCGGGCAAGUAACAGUGAAGUUAAAUACAUUCACUCUGCCAGAUAUGAUAAAUAUAUGGCUACACACCCCAUCACGGCUCCUUCUCUUACGGUGGUUGACACAGUACAUUGGUCAAAGUAGAGUGUCCCACUCAGCCUGCAGUGCACCUCACAGUUCUCAACACAGGACUCUAGACAGACAUAAGAGUCUAGACAGACAUUGGACAGACACUAGUCAAUUAGAGGUUGUCCACUCAUGCUAACGCAGACCUCCUUGACACUGGCUACCUUCAGAAGGGCAGGAUUUGAUGAGGGGAUUGGGGGAAAUUAGAAGAAGAGAGAAAAGGAGCACGCCUUGCUGGACGUAGAGGUGAGAAAGGGCUCCAGGAGAGAAAAGGUGCAAUUUCUCUGCCUGGUGUAUUUUCUAAGAGGUUGCCGUUACCCAAAGAGGUAUCCUCAGGACCCCAUCGAAAGAAUUGCCCCACGGACAACUAAAUAAAAGAAUUACUAAUUAUGGAGUACUUGAAGUAACAGACGAAGUGGUAUGAUAGACAAUAACGUGAGACCUCCUUAGACAAACUGGUCUGUGGAAUGCCUCUCUAAGAAGGGAACAUUUGGGCCGAGAGCUAAAGAAUGGUCUUUAGGAACCAGCCAUACAAAGAGGAGCAGGAAGAAGCAGGUAAAAAGUUUCAGGCCAGAAUCAACUUGGGCUCCUCAAAAGAGUUGUAUGAAAGCCAGGAAGGCUGGAGCGGAGGGAGCUGGGGAGAGAGACGAAGGGUGGGUUUCAAAGGCGAGCAGGGCUGGACCACACAGAAUUCUGGGGCUGAUAAUAGGAAAUUUGGAUAGAUAUUGAAGGGCUUUUAGGGUAGUUAUAUGAUCUUAGAUAGUUUUGAAAAGCCCUCUCUAGUUCUCUGUACAAACCGGGUGGGAAGUGGGGAUGGGUCAAGAAUGGAAGAGAGGAGACAGGUUAGGAGACUAAAUGAAAGAGGAUAGUCUGGAGAUGUGGACAGCAAUGUAUGUUCUGGAGGUUGACACUAUGGAAUUUGCUGAUGCACUGAGAGUGGGAGAUCAGGAGAAGAGAGAAAUCAUUUCUCUGGGCUUCUCAGUGGUGGCACCAUUUGCCCAAAUGAGGGCGAACAGGAGAAACAUUGGUGUGUGUAGGAGGGUGAUUUUCUUGCAGAACAAGUUUGUGUGUCAUUUAGUGGCCAGUUUCUCUUAUCCAGUGGGAAUUCUGGGCAUGGGACUGAGAAAAAAAUAAGAGGGAAUGCAUGCUCUUAUUGGGGUCAUUCAUUCAUUCAACAGAUAUAUAUCAUGUACCAGACCCUCUUCUAGGUUUGGGGAUUGGAAAAGUUCUUGCUCUCACGGAACUUAUACUCUACUAGGUUGGGGAGUAGUGUGCACAAAAAUAAGUGCAUAAUAUACCAAGUGAUAAUAAGUGCUGUGAAUAAAACAAAGCAAUGUAAGGGUUAAAAAAUUAAGUGUGUGUGUGUAAGAGCUGUGGUUUGCUAUUUUAUAUAUGGUGGUUAGCAAAGCCUCUAUGAUAAGGUGACAUUUGAUUGGAAAGCUGAAGGAGGUGAGAAAGCAAGCUACAUUGGAUAUCUGGGAGCAUUCAAGGCAAAGGAACAGUAAGUACAAAGGCCCAGCUUGCUGUGUUGCAGGAGUUGAAGGACACCUGUGCGACUGGAGCAGAGUGAUAGAGUGGGGGUGCAGUGAGAGAUGAGGUCAGAGAGGCCGUGGGGGCCUGGUCUUCUAUGGCCUUACAUGAUCAUUUUAAGAAAUUUGGAUUUGACUAUGAGUAAGAUGGGGAGCCACUGGAGCAUUUCCACCUUUACUGAGAACCCACCAAAGAUUCCCAUUUGCAUUUCUUGUUCUUAUUAAAUGAGGAAAAGUUUUGUCCCUGGCUACUUUGUGGUGAAGCAUAAAAGGUAGAUCAAGAAUAAAAUGAAGACAUGAGACGAGACAAUUUCUUUCUAGCAGAAAUUGCCUAAACCAAAAAGAUAUCCACAUAUCUCUUACCCAAGCCAUUUCAUCACUGAGCAACUUGGGAUACAAUCCCUGCAGCUGGCAAACUCUGCUAUAGGACGGGCAUGAUUCGGGGAAAAUAGGAAAGUACCCUCUUUCUUUCUCAAAGUUUCUCAACUGCCAAAAAUCUUAUCCAUCCAUCCAUCCAAUCAACCAACAUUUAUUGAUCUUCUACUACAGUCAUGUGUCACUUAUUGACGGGGAUACAUUCUGAGAAUUGCCUCGUUAGGUGAUUUCAUCAUCCAAAAUCCAGAGUGUACUUACACAGACCUAGAUGGUACAGCCUACUACACACCUCGGGUAUGUGGUACUAAUCUUAUGGGACGACUGUUGUAUAUGUGGUCCGUUGGAGACUGAAACGUUAUGCGGCACAUGAUUGUACGUGUACAGCAAUGGACUGGGUACUAUGAAUGUAUACAGAUGGAUGAGACUCCUCUGUUCUGUGUUUUCUUAGAUUCUGUAUUUGUCUAUUUGCAUCCAUUAAUCACAGGGCCAAACUAAUAGCCAAAGUAGUUUAUGUCUCCCCUGUGACCAGCUUAAGUGGAUGUACAAAAAUCAUAUUACAAACCAACCAACCCAUCCUGAAGCCAUACUCCCAACCACCUCCUUCAUCUAACUCCCACACACCAAGCCACUAUUUCCCCUGCCCUAAAUCAACCAAGGGCCAGGUACCAGACAAAUAGGGACAGACCCUAUGCUCCAAAAUUCACAGGAAUUAUUCCAACUAGCCAAUCCUAAACUGUUUACCCUGUCCUACCUUGUCUUUCCCACAGAAACUCCAAUAAAGGCUGUGGCCUCUGCUUUCCCCUCGCUCCUGCUUCUGCCCCCUGACCAAACCUGCUGCUUCUCUGUGUGGCCUUGUGUAGCACGGUGUGCUCCCUUCUCUUGGGAACUGUGAGUAAUAAAACGUCUGUCAGUGGCAUUAACCUCGCCAUGUCAUCACUCAGUCACCUUUAGAAAUUAUGACCCAGGCACAAAUCAUCCACCCAAAACAAGUUUCUUCCCUCUUCUUCUCCUCCUUUUCCUUCUUUCUCUGAGUCAAAAAUCUCUUCCUUCCCAUUGUUUUUCUUUGCCAUGCCUAAGAUAUGGUUUCUCUGCUCCAACAGUCUGAUGCAUCUUCCUCAGGCCCUCUGACACCUAGGAAAUGGAUAUAGGUUGGUUUUUGGUAGACCCAUUUGCUUUGCUUGAGGUUCACUGUGCCUGGGCACUAUCCCUUAUAGACCGUAGGCUCUCUCUUAUUCACUUUCGGGCACUGCCUCAAUUCUGCUUGCUCCUGAUAGUCCUCAAUGAAAAUCUAGAAUAUCUUCAGGCCACUGCUCAGUCUUAGAGAUGCAUUUCCACUUUACUUAGUGCCUUGGACUAUCAUGGUUAAUGUCUGUGUUUUAAUGCUCUCUCCUGAGCUAUGGUUCAUCCCGCUAAGUCACACUUUCGUGAUAAUUAGAAAAGAGGUGACCGACAAGGGGAUUUGAUUCGAUGGCUUAGUUUGUCUGGGAGAUACGUAUUUUUACUGCUAACUUAUAUGACAAAUCGGGGAGGCACUCUUGGCUAGCGUAAAUUAUUUUAUGGGAGUGAGAGGUCGUGUUAUUCUAAUCUUUAGUUGAGCUUGCUGACCUGUAUAAAGUCAGCAAAAUUCAAUAAUAUUGUGUAAGCAUCCUGGUAGGAUCUGUGCUAAACACUAGCAAUUGAGUUCAAACGGAUACAAUCGGUGUCCUCUGAAUAUUUAUAUUCCAAAGCUGACAUGACACAAAACAGUUUAACACAAUACCACGAAAUACGCCCAUGUGUUAUAAUGAUUAAUUCACAAUUGCUUCCUAGCUAAAGUUUUAGAAACUAAGUGUUGAGCCUCCCCUCCUAGCAGACCUACUGAAAUACGUUAGAAUUGUCCGGUGCUCAGACACUGAUCCCAAUAAUGAGAGUAUUCAGUGACAGCUUCCCAAGUCUUAGAUUUGGUCCUCCAAGUGCGUUUACUCUGGACUUCCCUCCUCAGUGACUUGUAGCUUGAUGUUUUGUUUCAAUACUAAGUUUCAGCUGGUUAGAGUGUGUUAAGUAACUUCAUUCUCCACUAUGUACAUUUAGUGAGCCUCCUCUUAUUCUUCAGAU
Molecule: long non-coding RNA, 6610 nt
Organism: Diceros bicornis minor
Lineage: Eukaryota; Metazoa; Chordata; Mammalia; Perissodactyla; Rhinocerotidae
Exons: 5
Source: RefSeq, a predicted model, not a curated record